RNAcentral lists this ribosomal RNA (301 nucleotides) under uncultured bacterium. RNAcentral describes it as "partial 16S ribosomal RNA". It matches the Rfam family "Bacterial small subunit ribosomal RNA", at positions 509 to 807 of the family's 1533-position model. The record is from RNAcentral.
CAGUAGCCGCGGUAAUACGUAGGUGGCAAGCGUUGUCCGGAAUUAUUGGGCGUAAAGGGCUCGCAGGCGGUUUCUUAAGUCUGAUGUGAAAGCCCCCGGCUCAACCGGGGAGGGUCAUUGGAAACUGGGAAACUUGAGUGCAGAAGAGGAGAGUGGAAUUCCACGUGUAGCGGUGAAAUACGUAGAGAUGUGGAGGAACACCAGUGGCGAAGGCGACUCUCUGGUCUGUAACUGACGCUGAGGAGCGAAAGCGUGGGGAGCGAACAGGAUUAGAUACCCGUGUAGUCCCUGUCUCUUAUAC